Molecule: ribosomal RNA, 899 nt
Filed under: uncultured archaeon
Lineage: Archaea
Description: bacterial SSU rRNA
Rfam family: Archaeal small subunit ribosomal RNA
Source: RNAcentral
CUCCGGUUGAUCCCGCCGGACCCGACUGCUAUCGGAUUGAGAUUUAGCCAUGCGAGUCGAACGUCCCCCUGUUGCGGGGGGCGUGGCGUACGGCUCAGUAACACGUAGUCAACCUGCCCUGGAGACAAGGACAACCCCGGGAAACUGGGAUUAAUCCUUGAUAGGUCAUCUCAUCUGGAAGGAGAGAUGGCUUAAAGGGGUACGCGGGCUUCUUCCGCGAAUCUGCUCCAGGAUGGGACUGCGUCCGAUCAGGCUGUUGGCGGGGUAAUGGCCCACCAAACCUGUAACCGGUACGGGCCUUGAGAGAGGUGGCCCGGAGAUGGACACUGAGAGAAGGGUCCAGGUCCUACGGGGCGCAGCAGGCGCGAAACCUUCGCAAUGCGCGAAAGCGUGACGAGGUUAAUCCGAGUGACUCCCGCUGAGGGGGUCUUUUGUCAGCUGUAAAUAGGCAGGCGAAUAAGGGGAGGGCAAGCCUGGUGUCAGCCGCCGCGGUAAUACCAGCUCCUCGAGUGGUCGGGGCGAUUAUUGGGCCUAAAGCAUCCGUAGCCGGUUCCGUAGGUCCUCUGUUAAAUCCAACCGCUUAACGGUUGACCUGCAGAGGAUACCGCGGGACUAGGAGGCGGGAGAGGCGGACGGUACUCCGCGUGUAGGGGUAAAAUCCUUUGAUCCGCGGAAGACCACCAGUGGCGAAGGCGGUCCGCCAGAACGCGCUCGACGGUGAGGGAUGAAAGCUGGGGGAGCGAACCGGAUUAGAUACCCGGGUAGUCCCAGCCGUAAACGAUGCUAGCUAGAUGAUUCAUUCGCAAGUCGCGAAUGAAGUGUCGCAGGGAAGCCGUUAAGCUAGCCGCCUGGGGAGUACGGUCGCAAGACUGAAACUUAAAGGAAUUGGCGGGGGAGCA